AGCGUAGGUGGCCUAACAUGUCAACCGUGAAAACCCGGAGCUCAACUCCGGACUUGCAGUUGAAACUGGUAGGCUUGAGGACGGUAGAGGAAGACGGAACUGCCAGUGUAGGGGUAAAAUCCUUAGAUAUUGGCAGGAACGCCGGUGACGAAGGUGGUUUUCUGGGCCGGUUCUGACACUGAUGCUCGAAAGCCAGGGGAGCGAACG
This 207-nucleotide ribosomal RNA is filed under the name uncultured Mesotoga sp. RNAcentral's name for it is "partial 16S ribosomal RNA". It matches the Rfam family "Bacterial small subunit ribosomal RNA", at positions 568 to 774 of the family's 1533-position model. The record is from RNAcentral. Lineage: Bacteria; Thermotogati; Thermotogota; Thermotogae; Kosmotogales; Kosmotogaceae.